Long non-coding RNA from Lytechinus pictus (painted urchin), 6149 nucleotides. RefSeq lists it as uncharacterized. The record is from RefSeq and is a predicted model, not a curated record. NCBI's taxonomy places the organism in Eukaryota, Metazoa, Echinodermata, Echinoidea, Temnopleuroida, Toxopneustidae. The transcript has 2 exons.
AAUUAUUUUUUAAAAGAAGGGGAAUGGGUCCUGCCUCGUAGUCCUGGUGAGCCGAUUCACACACUCACACUGAUAUUAGCCUCAAUCUGCCAAGCUUUCUUUUUCAAAAUAAAUUUGGAGAUGUGCCCCCCCCCCAAUAUCUUUGAAUGCAGUUAUAUUAAUCCAAAACACGAAAGAAAAGAGCAGUUAAUUUGGUAAACAAACAAUAAACCCCACUUCAGCAAGCAGCAAGAUCAGCGCCCUAGCACAGCUGGCAGCCACAUAAUAGCCCAGCGCAGCACCGUGAAAAUUCGCCAGGAUGCCUAUAAUACGUGCGCGGUCAUGCAGCCAAUUUUUGCUUGGCACAUACAGCAAGUUUCGGAGCUAAAAAACAUUGUUUCAGUAAUCAAAUCACUUAGAUAUUUCAUAUGCAGGUAAUUAAAUAAAUAUUCUACGAAGAUAUAUAACGUUCAAAACUAUACAUACCUUCCUUUUUUGAAAUUCAAGGCAUCGAAUCCGUCUCCAAUCUUUUGAUGGUCGACGUAUCUCAGUCCUUGUUCAUCGUACGGAAAAAAAAUAAGCGAUAUCAAGUGGGAUUCCCGAUCUCUUGAUCGAUACCCCAUUCAUGAUGUAAGGUCUAAAAAUAGCCCCGCUACAGCGAUUUUAGCAGAGACAUGCACUGUGCACUCGAACAAGAGGCGGAACGAUAGCGCGGUGCAAGGAAAUAACCAGCCGAAGCGCGGAUUGUCACGUACCUAAUAAAUAUCACGAAUCGUAAAAUAUUUUUUGACAUAUACUUCUUCAUCAUGGAGCCUUGAACCGCCUCCCAUAUAUGUGGGUCAUUUCACACUAAGUGUACACUUUUAGUCUCACUGGGGGUCAAAAAUGAGAGUUGUUGUUGGGACAUAAUAUCUAAAAUUACAGAGCGUCAAGUCCAUUUUUACAUGUUUAAAUAGUUAACUGAAAUAUGGUAACAAAAAUAGGCGUCUGGAGAGGAUAUUUUGUUUAACAAGAAACACAUCAACUUUAUAUGGUAGUGUGACCUUAAUUCGCGCGUUACCUAAUUUUGCGCACGGGCGAAUACCUCAAUAUCUAAUUAAUAUUUAGAUAAACUGAUAUCACCAACAGAAAGAGCGACUUGAAAUUGCCCAGUAUAGUAAUUUUCUUGGAAGGUAAGGUCUCUAUUAAUGAAAAUAUUAGCAAAACUUCUGCAAAUUUUGUUACCUUUUGCGUCCGCUCCGAGAAAAUCCGACCUUCUCGACAAGCAUCAAGAAUUCGCCAGUUUGCAAGCAGAAGUCUCCAAAUAAAUAAGUAAAAUGUGAUACCAACCAAAUUUAUGGCAUUUUAACCUCCAUCUGAUAUAAUUAUCUUACCUUUGUCUGCUUGAUUUCUUUUCUAAAGCCUUACAAAAACGAUUGUGCGCAAAUCAAGGUCACCCUUUAUAUGACACUUUUUCAGCCGAGUGCGCACUAGUCGAUCGCCAUGGAAUUUUGAGAGCGCAAUACCAGCGAAACCCUUGACCUACUUUAUAAUUCUAUCAAGUGAAUUUGACUUUAGGAUCUUGCCUUCCGUUUGGUAUCCAUGAUUUUGAUUAAUUUUGUGUGAGCUGUGAGAAAUUUAUGAUUGAAAAUCAACUUCAUGUUGAUUUUUAAAAUGUGCGCAAAUUAUGGUCACCCCAUCAUAACCCUGUAUUAUUAUACAAAUGGUUUUGCGUUCAUUUGUAGGCAUCUGUAUUGCUUAUCAAAUGUCAAUAUACUCAUUUUACCUUCAGGCAUACUGUAUUUUGCCAUGAAAUAAGUGUGUGGUAUGGCAAAAUGAGAUAUGAAGGGGUAAAAUUUAUGUAAUAACAUCAUGGAAUCCAUUUUUUGUCUCGCCUGCAUAGCAGAGCGAGACUAUAGGCGCCGCUUUUCCGACGGCGGCGGCGGCGUCAACAUCAAAUCUUAACCUAAGGUUAAGUUUUUGAAAUGACAUCAUAACUUAGAAAGUAUAUGGACCUAGUUCAUGAAACUUGGGCAUAAGCUUAAUCAAGUAUUAGUGAACAUCCUGCUUGAGUUUCAGGUCACAUGACCAAGGUCAAAGGUCAUUUAGGGUCAAUGAACUUUGGUCAAGUUGGGGUUAUUUGUUGAAUUACUAUCAUAACUUUGAAAAGUUAUGGAUCUAGUUCAUGAAACUUGGACAUAAGGUUAAUCAAGUAUUAGUAAACAUCCUGCCUGAGUUUCAGGUCACAUGACCAAGGUCAAAGGUCAUUUAGGGUCAAUGAACUUUGGCCAAAUUGGGGGUAUUUGUUGAAUUACCAUCAUAACUUUGAAAAUUUAUGGAUCUAGUUCAUGAAACUUGGACAUUAGGUUAAUCAAGUACCACUGAAUAUCCUGUGCGAGUUUCAGGUCACAUGACCAUGGUCAAUGGUCAUUUAAGGUCAAUGAACUUUGGCCGUGUUGGGGGUAUUUAUUAAAUUACCAUCCUAACUCUGAAAGUUUAUGGAUCUAGUUCAUAAGACUUGGACAUAAGAGUAAUCAAGUAUCACUGAACAUCCUGUACGAGUUUCAGGUCACAUGACCAUGGUCAAAGGUCAUUAAAGGUCAAUAAACUUUGGCCAUGUUAGGGGUAUUUGUUGAAUUACCAUCCUAACUAUGAAAGUUUAUGGAUCUAGUUCAUAAAGCUUGGGAUACAAGAGUAAUCAAGUAUCACUGAACAUCCCCUGUGAGUUUCAGGUCACAAAACCAAGGUCAAAGGUCAGUUAAGGUCAAUAAACUUAGGCCAUGUUGGGGUAAUUGUUGAAUUGCCAUCAAAGUUUAUGGAUAGAGUGAAUAAAAUGUGGACAUGGGUGUAGUUGACAAGUCUUAAGUCACCGUUCAAAUGUCAUUUAUGGUCAAUGAAUGUGGUAUUAUGUCAUUAUAUGAAUGAUGUUUUUGUGAAUGAUUAUUUUAUAGUAGUUUUCAAAGUUAGCACUGCUGCUAUAUUAAAUCGCGUAAUGCAGGCGAGACUGCCAGAGGCGUUCCACUUGUUUCUUUUGAUAUAGCUUCAAAUUUGAAUUACACUGUUUUAUUUAGGUCUAAACCACCCAUGGGUGUAACUCUGCCGCCGUGUACAGGAAAAUUGAAGACACGGCACAUUCAACAAUGCAACAAAUUCCUGCAAAUUUAAUAAGAGGAUUUACAGAAUGAAGUCCUCCUACGAAACUUACCAAACGAUGCGAAGUCAAUUCCUCCUAAUAUGAGGAAUAUCCCUCAAAUAGCUUCAUUUCAGCAUUGAUUUUUCUUCUCGUUGACAAAAUAUGGAGCAACCUUGCGAGUUCUCAAAUUUUUCGUCUAAUGAGCGAAAGAGGGCGCGUGAUUUAUCUUCAUAUCAAAGACACUACAAGGGAAAGACUAGACACAAAAACUAUCUUACACGUAAAUCGAUGCAAAGCGUUACGCGAAGUCGGCAAAGUGUCCAAUCUUUUUACUGUAAAGACUUUGGUGGAACGUUAAUUGACAAACGAAUGGUAGCACUUGCGGGGCUUCGUUCAAGGUACGUAGAAUUUUUUAUAUUUUUUGUUUAAUUUGUCAUCGCUUUGAAUAUUUUCCAAAAAGUAUUAUCGUCAGCAAAAAUAAUAAAAAAGUACAUUUUUUAAGUUAUUGCAUUUUUUGGUGUCUCUAUGUUAUCAAACAAUCAUUGGAAUUGCGCAUACAAAAAAUCAAGAAUCUAGUUUUAAAAAUACAGACAAGCUGAAUUAAGGUUGUAAACUGUAUUAGCGCCACCAGCGACCUUCCUUUUAUUUCCAUGGAAGAGGCAUGCGAAGUCACUUUCUUGGCCAAGGUAAGCGAUUUUGCUUUUUUUAUGUCCAUUUAAAAAAUAUGUUAAAAAUUGAAAAUGGAACGUUUUUCACCAGAAAAAGCCCUGGGGUGGUAUUCUGAAAACGUUCUUAUCUUUGUUCUUAUCUUUGUUCUUAUCUCAAUGAGAUAAGAAGACGCUAAAAUCAUUGCAAAUCGGUAUUCUGAAAAUCUUCUUAACGCGUUCUUAUCUCUGUAAGGACUGCCUCCUUCUUAUCUUCAACACGCCCAUUUUUGUCUCGCCUGCAUAGCAGAGCGAGACUAUAGGCGCCGCUUUUCCGACGGCGACGGCGGCGGCGGCGGCGGCGUCAACAUCAAAUCUUAACCUAAGGUUAAGUUUUUGAAAUGACAUCAUAACUUAGAAAGUAUAUGGACCUAGUUCAUGAAACUUGGACAUAAGGUUAAUCAAGUAUUACUGAACAUCCUGCCUGAGUUUCAGGUCACAUGACCAAGGUCAAAGGUCAUUUAGGGUCAAUGAACUUAGACCAUGUUGGGAAAAUUAUUUUCAAAAUCUUAACCGAAGGUUAAGUUUUUGAAAUGACAUCAUAACUUAGAAAGUAUAUGGACCUAGUUCAUGAAACUUGGGCAUAAGAUUAAUCAAGUAUUAGUGAACAUCCUGCUCGAGUUUCAGGUCACGUGACCAAGGUCAAAGGUCAUUUAGGGUCAAUGAACUUUGGUCAAGUUGGGGGUAUUUGUUGAAUUACUAUCAUAACUUUGAAAAUAUAUGGAUCUAGUCCAUGAAACUUAGACAUAAGGUUAAUCAAGUAUUAGUGAACAUCCUGCUUGAGUUUCAGGUCACAUGACCAAGGUCAAAGGUCAUUUAGGGUCAAUGAACUUUGGCCAAGUUGGGGGUAUUUGUUGAAUUACCAUCAUAACUUUGAAAAUUUAUGGAUCUAGUUUAUGAAACUUGGACAUUAGGUUAAUCAAGUACCACUGAAUAUCCUGUGCGAGUUUCAGGUCACAUGACCAUGGUCAAUGGUCAUUUAAGGUCAAUGAACUUUGGCCAUGUUGGGGGUAUUUGUUAAAUUACCAUCCUAACUCUGAAAGGUUACGGAUCUAGUUCAUAAAACUUGGACAUAAGAGUAAUCAAGUAUCACUGAACAUCCUGUACGAGUUUCAGGUCACAUGACCAUGGUCAAUGGUCAUUUAAGGUCAAUGAACUUUGGCCAUGUUGGGGGUAUUUGUUAAAUUACCAUCCUAACUCUGAAAGGUUACGGAUCUAGUUCAUAAAACUUGGACAUAAGAGUAAUCAAGUAUCACUGAACAUCCUGUACGAGUUUCAGGUCACAUGACCAUGGUCAAAGGUCAUUAAAGGUCAAUGAACUUUGGCCAGGUUGGGGGUAUUUGUUGAAUUACCAUCCUAACUCUGAAAGUUUAUGGAUCUAGUUCAUAAAACUUGGGAUAUAAGAGUAAUCAAGCAUCACUGAACAUCCCCUGUGAGUUUCAGGUCACAAAACUAAGGUCAAAGGUCAGUAAAGGUCAAUAAACUUAGGCCAUGUUGGGGUAAUUGUUGAAUUGCCAUCAUAACUUUGAAAGUUUAUGGAUAGAGUGAAUGAAAUGUGGACAUGGGUGUAGUUGACAGUCUUAAGUCUCCGUUCAAAUGUCAUUUAUGGUCAAUGAACGUGGUAUUAUGUCAUUAUAUGAAUGAUGUUUUUGUGAAUGAUUAUUUUAUAGUAGUUUUCAAAGUUAGCACUGCUGCUAUAUUAAAUUGCGUAAUGCAGGCGAGACUGCCAGAGGCGUACACUUGUUAAGAUAUUACCAAUCAAAAUGCGCUUUAUAUUGGCAGUUUAACCAAUAAAAGCGUUCCUUAUGUGAAGAGAAUAUCAUGGGCGCUGCGCGUGCACUGUUUCUUGCGCACUGCGCGAAAUAGGCAUUUUAUACGCAAUGACUGAUUAUUAUUUCGAGACACGUGCACAAAAUAAAGAAAGAAAGAAAGUAAAGAAAAAAGGUAAAGAAAGCAGUUGCGAAUAAGAAUAAAACAGGAAGAGAGAAGUAAAGUAAGUAGGUAAGUAAGAAGACAGAAAAGGGUCAGAAUGAAGCAGAAAUUUAAAAAAAUAAAAGGAUCAAUGCAGAAAACAAUGAAAGAAAGAAAAGGUAAACGAAAGAAAGCAAGCAAAAGGAACUUUAAAGAAAAUUUUAAAAAUGAAAAGAAAUAAAAAGGAAAGAAUACAAGAAAAAAAAAGGAGGAAUACAUAGAAUGAUAAUCAAUGAUAAAAAGAGGAAUAUAAAAUUGAAGGAAAAAUAAAGAAGGAAUAGGAAAAAAAACUUAAAGGGGAAAAAACGAAAAAGUACAAAAUAAACAGAUUAAAAGGGAUAAAAUGAAGGAAUAAAGAACCAAAAAAAGUUAGAAAAAACGAA